This 372-nucleotide ribosomal RNA is filed under the name uncultured organism. Its description in RNAcentral is "partial 16S ribosomal RNA". It matches the Rfam family "Bacterial small subunit ribosomal RNA", at positions 527 to 896 of the family's 1533-position model. The record is from RNAcentral.
GGAAGGUGCAAGCGUUAAUCGGAAUUACUGGGCGUAAAGCGCGCGUAGGCGGCUAGAUUAGUCGGGUGUGAAAGCCCUGGGCUCAACCUGGGAACUGCAUUCGAUACUGUCUAGCUAGAGUCUGGUAGAGGGAGGCGGAAUUCCGCAUGUAGCGGUGAAAUGCGUAGAGAUGCGGAGGAACACCAAUGGCGAAGGCAGCCUCCUGGACUAACACUGACGCUGAGGCGCGAAAGCGUGGGGAGCAAACAGGAUUAGAUACCCUGGUAGUCCACGCCCGUAAACGAUGUCAACUAGCCGUUGGGAGCAUUUUGGCUCUUGGUGGCGCAGCUAACGCGAUAAGUUGACCGCCUGGGGAGUACGGUCGCAAGAUUA